AAAAUAUUAGAAUCUGUAUUAAAAAAAUUGAGGUUACCAAAAAUAAUUUAGAGGGCAAAAAGGGAAUUUCAUGUUAAAGGGCAAAGAUUUAAGACUUACCACGUGCGAUUUAGGUGGCAGUGCGCUUAGUUAAAACGGGUGGCGCGCCAAAAGGUUUGGAAAGGCAUCGGUAUCGAGACUGAAACUGUUUUAUUUGAUCACGUGACUGUCCUUAGCCACUUA
Molecule: long non-coding RNA, 222 nt
Filed under: Gossypium barbadense (sea-island cotton)
Lineage: Eukaryota; Viridiplantae; Streptophyta; Magnoliopsida; Malvales; Malvaceae
Description: long non-coding RNA (GBAR_LNC019039)
Source: RNAcentral